UGCUUACGGGAGGCAGCAGUGGGGAAUCUUAGACAAUGGGGGCAACCCUGAUCUAGCCAUACCGCGUGAGUGAUGAAGGCCUUAGGGUUGUAAAGCUCUUUCAGCUGGGAAGAUAAUGACGGUACCAGCAGAAGAAGCCCCGGCUAACUCCGUGCCAGCAGCCGCGGU
Molecule: ribosomal RNA, 168 nt
Filed under: uncultured bacterium
Lineage: Bacteria
Description: partial 16S ribosomal RNA
Rfam family: Bacterial small subunit ribosomal RNA
Source: RNAcentral